Molecule: ribosomal RNA, 440 nt
Filed under: bacterium 1.6
Lineage: Bacteria
Description: bacterial SSU rRNA
Rfam family: Bacterial small subunit ribosomal RNA
Source: RNAcentral
GCCCUAAUACGGCGGGCCCAUGACGGUACCGUAAGAAUAAGCACCGGCUAACUACGUGCCAGCAGCCGCGGUAAUACGUAGGGUGCAAGCGUUAAUCGGAAUUACUGGGCGUAAAGCGUGCGCAGGCGGUUAUAUAAGACAGAUGUGAAAUCCCCGGGCUCAACCUGGGACCUGCAUUUGUGACUGUAUAGCUAGAGUACGGUAGAGGGGGAUGGAAUUCCGCGUGUAGCAGUGAAAUGCGUAGAUAUGCGGAGGAACACCGAUGGCGAAGGCAAUCCCCUGGACCUGUACUGACGCUCAUGCACGAAAGCGUGGGGAGCAAACAGGAUUAGAUACCCUGGUAGUCCACGCCCUAAACGAUGUCAACUGGUUGUUGGAUCUUUACUGAUUCAGUAACGAAGCUAACGCGUGAAGUUGACCGCCUGGGGAGUACGGCCGCA